RNAcentral lists this ribosomal RNA (297 nucleotides) under Pholcus buatong. Its description in RNAcentral is "partial 12S ribosomal RNA". Lineage: Eukaryota; Metazoa; Arthropoda; Arachnida; Araneae; Pholcidae. The record is from RNAcentral.
CACACAUCAAUUUAUAUACCAUGGCGGUCCUAAUUAACUAAAGAAACUCGCCCCAUAAUCGUAAACACCCGUUAACUUUGACUAUAAAUAAACAGCUUAUAUACCGCCGUCACAAAACUAAACAAAAAUAUAGCUUAAUAUUUCAACUCUAAAUCAAAAAUCAGGUCAAGGUGUAGCCUAUAUUAUAGAGCGGGUAAGUUACAAUAAAAACAAUUUAAGGAAAUUUUAAUAAAAAUUAAACAGAAAUAGAAUUUAUAUACACAAUCUAACCAAAAAUUAGAAUAGAAAAACAAACAA